RNAcentral lists this ribosomal RNA (119 nucleotides) under Lepisosteus oculatus (spotted gar). Lineage: Eukaryota; Metazoa; Chordata; Actinopteri; Semionotiformes; Lepisosteidae. The record is from RNAcentral.
GCCAGCAGCCAUAUCACCCUGCUCCUCACAACUGGCAGCCCACUGAAGCUCAGCAGGUGUGAGCCUGGUUAGUACCUGGAUGGGAGACCUCCUGGGAAAAACUAAGGUUGCUGCUGGAA